AACAGACGAGGAGCUUGCUCCUCUGACGUUAGCGGCGGACGGGUGAGUAACACGUGGAUAACCUACCUAUAAGACUGGGAUAACUUCGGGAAACCGGAGCUAAUACCGGAUAAUAUAUUGAACCGCAUGGUUCAAUAGUGAAAGACGGUUUUGCUGUCACUUAUAGAUGGAUCCGCGCCGCAUUAGCUAGUUGGUAAGGUAACGGCUUACCAAGGCAACGAUGCGUAGCCGACCUGAGAGGGUGAUCGGCCACACUGGAACUGAGACACGGUCCAGACUCCUACGGGAGGCAGCAGUAGGGAAUCUUCCGCAAUGGGCGAAAGCCUGACGGAGCAACGCCGCGUGAGUGAUGAAGGUCUUCGGAUCGUAAAACUCUGUUAUUAGGGAAGAACAAAUGUGUAAGUAACUAUGCACGUCUUGACGGUACCUAAUCAGAAAGCCACGGCUAACUACGUGCCAGCAGCCGCGGUAAUACGUAGGUGGCAAGCGUUAUCCGGAAUUAUUGGGCGUAAAGCGCGCGUAGGCGGUUUUUUAAGUCUGAUGUGAAAGCCCACGGCUCAACCGUGGAGGGUCAUUGGAAACUGGAAAACUUGAGUGCAGAAGAGGAAAGUGGAAUUCCAUGUGUAGCGGUGAAAUGCGCAGAGAUAUGGAGGAACACCAGUGGCGAAGGCGACUUUC
RNAcentral lists this ribosomal RNA (678 nucleotides) under uncultured Staphylococcus sp. RNAcentral's name for it is "bacterial SSU rRNA". It matches the Rfam family "Bacterial small subunit ribosomal RNA", at positions 68 to 729 of the family's 1533-position model. The record is from RNAcentral. Lineage: Bacteria; Bacillati; Bacillota; Bacilli; Caryophanales; Staphylococcaceae.